AGGAAAAGGCAGAGCACAGCCCUGAUAAGCUUUCCUGUCAUUUGCUUUUCUUUUCAGUUUGUGGACACCCCGCAAUUCAGUCUUUUUACUUUCUCCAUGUUUAACCAACCUUAAAAAUACCAGGCAUCUUAAGACGACUUGUGCACAUACCAACUUAUACAAUGGGAAGUUUGCAGUUUCCAACAUUUCUCCUGGUGCUCUUGUACACAGCUGUGGUGCCUGGAGAGGUGAUACACAUGGGCAUGUUUCCUGAAGUUCCAGAUUACUCAUUCUACAAUUGUCGGAAAGAGAUGCUGCAAAUGGUCACAAAACCUGGAGGUUUGCUGCGUACAGAGCUUAAUAACAAUACAGAUUUUAAGACUUUGUGGAAAGAUAAAGCAACAUGUAAGAUAGCCAUUCCAGAGGCUACAGCGGAGCACAUGACUGCACUAAAGAGCUAUGCUGAAGCUGAUUCUAAAAUUCGUAAAAUUUUUUUAAAAAAGCUGGUUCAAACUAAAAGCAGGGGCAGUUCAACUUACCGAGAUGAUUUUCCUUUCAAAUCUUUUUUCUUCCUGCUGACAGAUGCCAUGCAACUCCAAAACGAUUGUUUUACAGUGUACUUUGGCAAACAGGAGGAAUAUAGCACCAAAAUUGGGGACAAAGUACGUUUUGAGAAAUUUUCUACAGCAAAACUGGAAUUUACUGAUGCAGUUGAAGAUGCAAUGUUAGGUGAUGACAUUGGGACUGUUUUCAAUAUCAGUUCCUGUUCUGUGAUCAACCUUGAAGAAAUGUGUAGCUCAGAUGACAUAGAGCUGCUAAUAUCACCCACUGAAGUUUUCACAGUUACGAAUAUCAGGACUAUUAGCACAAGUAAUGAUUAUUAUAAAGAGAUCACCUUAAUGCAUUCACACUUUCACAACUCCUCCAACUGCAGUGGUCUUGUCAGCGUAUCUGAAGAAUCUAAAGGAUCAUCUUCAAGUUUCCCGAGUUUCAGUUUACUGAGUCUGAUGGCUUCUUUACUCAUGACGUGCUUUAAUGUGCUGACUCUGUAAAAUACUCUGUAUUUUCUCAAAAAUGCACAAACUUAUGUGGAAAAGUAAAAGAGGCAUUCAUUUUCUUAAUGACUUAUAAGGAAGAAUUUAUCAUAAUUAUAGAUUACAUUGUUUCAAUGCAUUUUCUGUUUAAUCCUUACGACUACUUAAUGUAAAAAAACUAAAAACUUAGGCCCAUCUAAAUGUAUAUAAUAGCCUAUAUAAUUGUUUUAGUAAACCUUUUAUGUGCUUUAUUGUUUUUGACAUUUCUUUGAAAGUCUUUAGUCCAUAAAUACAUUUUACAUGCAUAAAAAGUAGAGUUGCUAAAAAAAAAAAAAAAAAAAAAAAAAAUGCUUUCAAGGGUCAUAUACUGUACUUCAUAUAUAGCCACCAUUGAAAUGGACCUCACAUGACUUGCAGUGAACUUUGUCAUUUGUGCCAUGUUGAAAAUGUAUUCAUGGGAUACAAUUCCACUUUAAUUAUGAGGCAAAAAUUUAAAUAAAAUGUUUCUUGUCUAGGUA
This is a long non-coding RNA of Ctenopharyngodon idella (grass carp), 1531 nucleotides long. RefSeq lists it as uncharacterized. The transcript has 4 exons. Lineage: Eukaryota; Metazoa; Chordata; Actinopteri; Cypriniformes; Xenocyprididae. The record is from RefSeq and is a predicted model, not a curated record.